GAGAUGGUGAAGGCCUUUGGAACUGUUGUACUGAAGCUGAGCUCCUAUUAUUUCACAGGUUUUCUUGCAUUAUUGAUUGGAAUCCCAGGAUUUUCUGGAAAUCAAGCAUUAAUGGGACAAAAGGUGUUUUCAUGAAAGUUGAAGAUUUUGGCCUGGAUCUGCCGAUUAACAGGGGAGAUAUUGGGCCUCCAGGAACUCUAGGGAAGAAAGGAGCUCCAGGAAUACCUA
This is a long non-coding RNA of Manis pentadactyla (Chinese pangolin), 228 nucleotides long. RefSeq lists it as uncharacterized. The transcript is spliced from 3 exons. Lineage: Eukaryota; Metazoa; Chordata; Mammalia; Pholidota; Manidae. The record is from RefSeq and is a predicted model, not a curated record.